GACGGCAGAGCUCUGGAAAGCUCGAGUGGUGGUGGAUUGUAGACCAUGGUCGUGGUGAUGAUAUAAUCGGAGAACAAAUACAGCGUCUAAAGUCGGAGUGAGAUUCUCGGUGAGUGGUUUUUGCAACGGAGAAUCCCCUUGGAAGAACAGAGAUCUCCAAUUUAAUAUUUCCUUGUUGAUGAUGUGAGCCAUUGAAGGAGAGGUCGGCUUGAGAUGUGAAGUUGAUUUGUGAUCUUGGGCUUUUUAGAAGUAGAUUUCGCAACUAGCAGAUGUGAAGUCGUCCAAGUUAAGCUCCAAUUUUGAGGGUUCUUUGCUUACAAUUUGCAGAUAACUGCAUCUUUCUUCGCUGAUCUUAAUAUGACAUUAUCUUCUCCUCUGAAUAAUAGCGAAUCGAGGUCAGCAAGAUGUUGAGCGGGGGUGUGGCGUGACGCAGUGAUCUCUCCUAGCCCCUACUCUUUUUUUUUUUUUUUUUGAAACAAACUAAUCGUGACUGUGAUGUUUUCUCAGGUCAUGAACCUUGCUUGAAUGUACGAAACGGGAUACUCUCUUCUUGUUUCUCAUCAAGUUGAGGUGUUUGAACUCUUUGUAUUGUUCUAAAGAGCCUUCAAGUCGUGAAGUUUGAGGAGAUCGGAGAAUGGAGGACCGCAUUAUGCGGGAGGUCGGAGAACGUUUUGAUGUAGACUUGUCAUUCACUGCGAUUGUGCUUGAACCUCUUUUGUGUAGCUCGUCGGUGUUUGUUACGGAGGGUUAGCUCGGUCGUGAGAAGGUGCACACGAUCUUUGUUCUUGUUGAAGGUUGUUGUUUUGAUUGCUCCACAAGUUAUGUCUCAAACUGCUUCUGAGAAUUUGUAGAUUGCCACGAAUCCUUCUGAUUUUUCAGCAAAGGACUCCAUGGAACGUGGUAAUGUAGGUGAUGUCUCGAUGUGGUCUCGCCAUUCUCUGAGGCUUAGCUCGGUAUGGGAGAAGACGUAUGAAGACCAAUGAGUUCCAGAUUUGUUUGUGAAUUGCUG
This 1009-nucleotide long non-coding RNA is filed under the name Eutrema salsugineum. RNAcentral's name for it is "long non-coding RNA (ESAL_LNC001306)". The record is from RNAcentral. Lineage: Eukaryota; Viridiplantae; Streptophyta; Magnoliopsida; Brassicales; Brassicaceae.